ACCUACGGGGGGCAGCAGUGGGGGAUAUUGCACAAUGGGGGAAACCCUGAUGCAGCGACGCCGCGUGGACGAAGAAGUAUUUCGGUAUGUAAAGUCCUAUCAGCAGGGAAGAAGAAAUGACGGUACCUGACUAAGAAGCCCCGGCUAACUACGUGCCAGCAGCCGCGGUAAUACGUAGGGGGCAAGCGUUAUCCGGAUUUACUGGGUGUAAAGGGAGCGCAGGCGGCAGCGCAAGUCUGAUGUGAAAGCCCGGGGCCCAACCGCGUGACUGCGUUGGAAACUG
This 283-nucleotide ribosomal RNA is filed under the name uncultured bacterium. RNAcentral describes it as "partial 16S ribosomal RNA". It matches the Rfam family "Bacterial small subunit ribosomal RNA", at positions 337 to 635 of the family's 1533-position model. The record is from RNAcentral.